CGGAUAUUGUAAAUACCCGUAGUGAAAUCUCAUACAUACCACUACGGGUAUUUGUAAAAACCGACGUGGAAUCCCCAUAAUUUUAAAUAAUAAUUACAGAAGAAACUACACAUACCACGACAGGUAUAAAAAUACCCGACGUGGAAAGUGUGUACUUACAACGUCGACUGCAUUUACUACUGGCCGCGGCCAGUAGUGGAAAGUCUGUUUGGCCAGUAGUUGUAUCUCC
This 229-nucleotide long non-coding RNA is filed under the name Trifolium pratense (red clover). Its description in RNAcentral is "long non-coding RNA (TPRA_LNC002023)". The record is from RNAcentral. Lineage: Eukaryota; Viridiplantae; Streptophyta; Magnoliopsida; Fabales; Fabaceae.